UAUAAUUUCCAAACUAACCCCAUUGACUAACCUUGCUGUUAUUUAUGGCCGAGUCCUUUUGGCAAAACUAGUCUUCAAGCUGUCUUUAUUUUUUCUCCGGCGAGUGGUGAGCUGAUAUCUCGUAGCUCCGAAGCGCCACCAUGGCCGAAGACUUUUCUGGAAAAAUCGAAAGCAAAGGGCUAAACCCGGGACUGAUCGUCCUUCUUGUAAUUGGAGGGUUGCUAGUGUCAUUCCUUGUAGGAAACAUCAUCCUUUACACCUACGCACAGAAGAAUUUGCCCCCGAAGAAGAAGAAGCCACUUUCUAAGAAGAAGAUGAAGAAAGAGAAGAUGAAGCAAGGCGUCCAAGUUCCUGGAGAGUAGCUUUUUCGUUGGGAUGAUCCUUUGAUGAUCACUCACUUUGCAGUACUAGAAAGUUACAUAUGACUCUGUGUACUCUCUUUUUUAGCUUUAAAUGUUUUCCUUGUAGCAUGAUAUUUUCUUGAGUUGAGACAAUCUAAAAGCUUUGCUGUGAUAA
Non-coding RNA from Camelina sativa (false flax), 516 nucleotides. The record is from RefSeq and is a predicted model, not a curated record. NCBI's taxonomy places the organism in Eukaryota, Viridiplantae, Streptophyta, Magnoliopsida, Brassicales, Brassicaceae.